UACGAAGGGGGCUAGCGUUGCUCGGAAUUACUGGGCGUAAAGCGCGCGCAGGUGGUUUCUUAAGUCUGAUGUGAAAGCCCACGGCUCAACCGUGGAGGGUCAUUGGAAACUGGGAGACUUGAGUGCAGAAGAGGAAAGUGGAAUUCCAUGUGUAGCGGUGAAAUGCGUAGAGAUAUGGAGGAACACCAGUGGCGAAGGCGACUUUCUGGUCUGUAACUGACACUGAGGCGCGAAAGCGUGGGGAGCAAACAGG
Molecule: ribosomal RNA, 253 nt
Filed under: uncultured bacterium
Lineage: Bacteria
Description: partial 16S ribosomal RNA
Rfam family: Bacterial small subunit ribosomal RNA
Source: RNAcentral